RNAcentral lists this ribosomal RNA (374 nucleotides) under uncultured Glomeromycotina. RNAcentral describes it as "LSU rRNA". Lineage: Eukaryota; Fungi; Glomeromycota. The record is from RNAcentral.
UUGAAAGGGAAACGAUUGAAGUCAGUCGUACCAGCGGGAAAUCAACCUUUCGAGUGGUGUUUUGGAGUUUUGAAGUGUGUCAAAACCUUUGAGAUUUUAAAAUUUUCGCUCUUUUGGUGUACUUUCUCGUGGGUAGGUUAACAUCGAUUUUGAUCAUCAUAAAAAGAUUGGAGGAAUGUAGCUUCGAUCUUGUAUUGAAGUGUUAUAGCCUUUGGUAAAUGUGAUGAUUAGGAUCGAGGAUUGCAACGAAUACCCUUUUGGGCUAUCCGCCUGAUCUCUGAUACGUGGCCUUGGUAUCGAAAGCGUGCUUAUGGUAUCAAGGUAUUACGGUCAAAAGGUUAGAACGGAUUACAUUCGUUAAGGAUGUUGACGUA